UACGGGGGGAGCAAGCGUUGUUCGGAUUUACUGGGCGUAAAGGGCGCGUAGGCGGCCUCCGCAAGUCACUUGUGAAAUCUCCGGGCUUAACUCGGAAAGGUCAACUGAUACUGCGGGGCUAGAGUGCGGAAGGGGCAACUGGAAUUCUUGGUGUAGCGGUGAAAUGCGUAGAUAUCAAGAGGAACACCUGCGGCGAAGGCGGGUUGCUGGGCCGACACUGACGCUGAGGCGCGAAAGCUAGGGGAGCGAACGGG
RNAcentral lists this ribosomal RNA (254 nucleotides) under uncultured bacterium. Its description in RNAcentral is "partial 16S ribosomal RNA". It matches the Rfam family "Bacterial small subunit ribosomal RNA", at positions 524 to 776 of the family's 1533-position model. The record is from RNAcentral.